RNAcentral lists this ribosomal RNA (412 nucleotides) under uncultured bacterium. Its description in RNAcentral is "bacterial SSU rRNA". It matches the Rfam family "Bacterial small subunit ribosomal RNA", at positions 38 to 496 of the family's 1533-position model. The record is from RNAcentral.
GGCGGCGUGCCUAACGCAUGCAAGUCGCACGAGGCGCAAGCCGAGUGGCGGACGGGUGAGUAACACGUAGGAACCUGCCCAGAAGUGGGGGACAACUCUCCGAAAGGGGAGCUAAUACCGCAUACGGUCUACGGACCAAAGCUUCGGCGCUUCUGGAGGGGCCUGCGGUGGAUUAGCUUGUUGGUGGGGUAAUGGCCUACCAAGGCGACGAUCCAUAGCUGGUCUGAGAGGAUGAUCAGCCACACUGGGACUGAGACACGGCCCAGACUCCUACGGGAGGCAGCAGCGAGGAAUUUUGCACAAUCGACGAAAGUCGGAUGCAGCAACGCCGCGUGGGGGAAGAANGCUUUCGAGUUGUAAACCCCUUNUGUGAGGGAAGAACAUCUGACGGUACCUCACGAAUAACUCACGG